UGCCAUUUGAGGCGCUCGAGGAGGACUCGCCGUCCCCCGACGCCGUUGCUCCCCUGGACCCCGUCGCGCUCCGGGACAGGCCGACGCUCACCCCCGACUUCUCUCGCCUCGUCUUCUCCAUGGAGCUCCCCUGCCGACGGCCCACGCCGGAGCUUUGGGCCGACCUCCCCUCCGGCAGCACGCGCCGCCCGAACCCAGUUGGCGCGUCGGCAAUUUCAAUAUUGCGCUCUCACAGUCCGGCUCUGCUCGUGCCAAGCUCUAGGUAUACGUUCUAAUCCUCUUUGCAAAUCUUAGGCUGAAAUUGGAUGUGAUUUGCUUAAUUCCAGUAGUAGUUUCUGAGAAAUAUAUAUUUCAUAGCACGAGCACGUAGUAUGAGAGAUUAUUAGAGCAGUAGUUGUACCUACUACGACAUGUAUUUUGCCGUUGAUUGUACAAGUUCACAUGUACAUCUCUGAAUAAAGAAAAACCUUAUUGCUGAUGUUAUAGAACAGAGGUGGUGUUGUUCGACUUCCAUUAUGCAGUACCAUUUCUUGCAAAAUACUUCCAAUUAGAAUAGUUGUCGUUCAGUAUUUGCCUACCUCUAAUACCAUUCCUCACAAAAUACAUACACCUUUUUUAGUGUCUGAAUUUUAUUAUCUGUUGGUGAUCAGUUUUUCGUACUCCAGCUCUUGGAUGUGCUAUCCUCCCUUCUCACUCUCGGGCUCCAGCAGCAAAUGGACGAAAAGCAUCACGAAGCAGCUCAGCUCCAUCUUCUAUAGUUAUUUCUUGAAUCUGUGAUAUACUAUAUAAUGCAUUCUGUAGAAAACAGAAUGAUGUUCAUUGGAGCCUCUCUCUUGCUAUGUUUCUUCCAUUUGUUUCUGCUCUAAGAAAACUCCAUACUUGGAAAAUGUCUCUUCAUGACUUCUUCGAAGUUUUUUCUGUAGUUUUCAGUCUUGGGUGCGUGCAGUUUCUUCAUGUCACAUCUGAAAUUUGGGCCCAUGUAUGUACAUUGUAAUUAGCAGGGCCUUCCCUGUUUGUGAUACUAAAUGAGGUACCUCUAUAUAUAGGUUUGCACCGUGUCAUUUUUUCCUGUCAUUAAUUGAUCUUCAUACCAAGAAAAUCCUGUUGGAGGGAUAUCGUGCAUACUCUGGUUUUCAGUGCUUUUUAUGAGAAGAGGGUUUUCAAGUAAUUAUUUUUAUCUUUGAUCUGAACAACAAUAAUACUUUAGGAUUGAUCAACACCUGUGUAAUAUGUAGCCUGAGUUGUGGCUCAUGGUAGUACACCACAUGGUUGAGUACCUGAGAUGGAAAGCCAAUCAUUAAGAUUUUUUUUCUGUAGACAAUUACUAAGUAUUUUGAACAUAUUUUUCCUGCCAUCUAUUUUUUUUGAAAUUGGUUGCUUGAUUAGAAAU
This 1390-nucleotide long non-coding RNA is filed under the name Triticum aestivum (bread wheat). RNAcentral describes it as "long non-coding RNA (TAES_LNC020477)". Lineage: Eukaryota; Viridiplantae; Streptophyta; Magnoliopsida; Poales; Poaceae. The record is from RNAcentral.